UUUUUAAAUUUGUAACUGUAAAGGUAAUAAUUACAUUACAAUGAAUACUCACAAACUUCAAAUGCUCCGAGUGCUUGAUGUCCAUUGUUUGUCCAGUGUAUUCAUGGCUUUUCUUGGUGUAGGACCUUAUCAUAGUUCCUAUAUGCACCCCUAAAUGAUUUUGUAGCACAAAGCUGUCUGGUUAUGUUAGCUUUUGAUUGAAUUAUAAAGUAGGACCUGGAUAACUGAGUCACGGUGAAUAAAGGCUUAUGGUUUUUACUGGUACAUUUGUCCUCAUAUAAUGGGAGCUUAUUACCUCCAUUUAAUUUUUAGUUUUAUUAUAAAGCUUCUAUUUGUAUUUGUAAAUCAGAAUUUAUUUUGUUGAAUGAAGGGGAAAAAACCUUGCUGUAUUUUUCAUUAUCUUACAACAUUGCGUGGAUAAAAAAAAAAACCCUCUAAAAAUUCUUAAUUUGUAGUAUGAUGGUUAUCAAUCACAUUUCUCUCUCAUUGGUUCAUUAUCUAAGCAGAUUAGUGGCUAAUGUGGCAGCAUGCAAAGGCUGCUUAGUGCAGGAUUGAAUUUUUUUUUCCUCUAAUUUAGGAAAGUGGAAUUAAACAGCAGAGAUGAGUGAGGAGAAAGUAGGUUUAAGACUGUUCUUUCCAAAAGUUUGGUUCAUUUAGGAAAUGGAGAUGGAGGUGAUGGCUUUAUGUGGUGAAGUUUUCCCUAGCUUAGAUAAUGAGGACCUUGGGAUAUGAAGCUCAUUAGCUUAAUGCUGAUGCUCUCUAAAGUGACUUGAUAAUGAUUCAUUUGAAGUUUAAGAAAAAAGAUUCAUUUGAAGUU
RNAcentral lists this unclassified non-coding RNA (817 nucleotides) under Hevea brasiliensis (rubber tree). The record is from RNAcentral. Lineage: Eukaryota; Viridiplantae; Streptophyta; Magnoliopsida; Malpighiales; Euphorbiaceae.